This 235-nucleotide ribosomal RNA is filed under the name uncultured bacterium. RNAcentral describes it as "partial 16S ribosomal RNA". It matches the Rfam family "Bacterial small subunit ribosomal RNA", at positions 523 to 755 of the family's 1533-position model. The record is from RNAcentral.
AUACGUAGGUGGCAAGCGUUAUCCGGUAUUUACUGGGUGUAAAGGGCGUGUAGGCGGGAGUGCAAGUCAGAUGUGAAAAUUAUGGGCUCAACCCAUAACCUGCAUUUGAAACUGUUCUUCUUGAGUGAUGGAGAGGCAGGCGGAAUUCCGUGUGUAGCGGUGAAAUGCGUAGAUAUACGGAGGAACACCAGUGGCGAAGGCGGCCUGCUGGACAUUAACUGACGCUGAGGCGACG